GACGAACGCUAGCGGCAGGCUUAAUACAUGCAAGUCGAGGGGCAGCACAGGGUAGCAAUACCUGGGUGGCGACCGGCAAACGGGUGCGGAACACGUACAGAACCUUCCUUCGAGCGGGGAAUAGCCCAGAGAAAUUUGGAUUAAUACCCCAUAGCAUAAUGGAGUGGCAUCACUUUGUUAUUAAAGAUUUAUCACUUGAAGAUGGCUGUGCGUAUGAUUAGGUAGUUGGCGGGGUAACGGCCCACCAAGCCUACGAUCAUUAACUGGUGUGAGAGCACGACCAGUCGCACGGGCACUGAGACACGGGCCCGACUCCUACGGGAGGCAGCAGUAAGGAAUAUUGGUCAAUGGACGCAAGUCUGAACCAGCCAUGCCGCGUGGAGGAUGAAGGUCCUCUGGAUUGUAACUUCUUUUAUCUGGGACGAAAAAAGGGAAUUCUUUCUCGUCUGACGGUACCAGAUGAAUAAGCACCGGCUAACUCCGUGCCAGCCGCCGCAGUAA
Molecule: ribosomal RNA, 501 nt
Filed under: uncultured bacterium
Lineage: Bacteria
Description: partial 16S ribosomal RNA
Rfam family: Bacterial small subunit ribosomal RNA
Source: RNAcentral